GUGCCAGCAGCCGCGGUAAUACGUAGGGUGCAAGCGUUGUCCGGAAUUAUUGGGCGUAAAGAGCUCGUAGGCGGUUUGUCGCGUCUGCUGUGAAAACCCGAGGCUCAACCUCGGGCCUGCAGUGGGUACGGGCAGACUAGAGUGCAGUAGGGGAGAUUGGAAUUCCUGGUGUAGCGGUGGAAUGCGCAGAUAUCAGGAGGAACACCAAUGGCGAAGGCAGAUCUCUGGGCUGUAACUGACGCUGAGGAGCGAAAGCAUGGGGAGCGAACAGGAUUAGAUACCCUGGUAGUCCAUGCCGUAAACGUUGGGCGCUAGAUGUGGGGACCUUUCCACGGCUUCCGUGUCGUAGCUAACGCAUUAAGCGCCCCGCCUGGGGAGUACGGCCGCAAGGCUAAAACUCAAAGGAAUUGACGGGGGCCCGCACAAGUGGCGGAGCAUGUGGAUUAAUUCGAUGCAACGCGAAGAACCUUACCUGGGCUUGACAUACACCAGAUCGCUGCAGAGAUGUAGUUUCCCUUGUGGUUGGUGUACAGGUGGUGCAUGGUUGUCGUCAGCUCGUGUCGUGAGAUGUUGGGUUAAGUCCCGCAACGAGCGCAACCCUCGUUCUAUGUUGCCAGCACGUGAUGGUGGGAACUCAUGGGAGACUGCCGGGGUCAACUCGGAGGAAGGUGGGGAUGACGUCAAAUCAUCAUGCCCCUUAUGUCCAGGGCUUCACACAUGCUACAAUGGUCGGUACAACGCGCAGCGACACUGUGAGGUGGAGCGAAUCGCUGAAAGCCGGCCUUAGUUCGGAUUGGGGUCUGCAACUCGACCCCAUGAAGUCGGAGUCGCUAGUAAUCGCAGAUCAGCAAUGCUGCGGUGAAUACGUUCCCGGGCCUUGUACACACCGCCCGUCACGUCAUGAAAGUUGGUAACACCCGAAGCCGGUGGCCCAAACUUGUUAGGGAGCCGUCGAAGGUGGGAUCGGCGAUUGGGACGAAGUCGUAACAAGGUA
This 994-nucleotide ribosomal RNA is filed under the name uncultured Corynebacterium sp. Its description in RNAcentral is "bacterial SSU rRNA". It matches the Rfam family "Bacterial small subunit ribosomal RNA", at positions 505 to 1498 of the family's 1533-position model. The record is from RNAcentral. Lineage: Bacteria; Bacillati; Actinomycetota; Actinomycetes; Mycobacteriales; Corynebacteriaceae.